GACGAACGCUGGCGGCGUGCUUAACACAUGCAAGUCGAACGGAAAGGCCCUGCUUUUGUGGGGUGCUCGAGUGGCGAACGGGUGAGUAACACGUGAGUAACCUGCCCUUGACUUUGGGAUAACUUCAGGAAACUGGGGCUAAUACCGGAUAGGAGCUCCUGCUGCAUGGUGGGGGUUGGAAAGUUUCGGCGGUUGGGGAUGGACUCGCGGCUUAUCAGCUUGUUGGUGGGGUAGUGGCUUACCAAGGCUUUGACGGGUAGCCGGUCUGAGAGGGUGACCGGCCACAUUGGUCCUGAGAUACGGCCCAGACUCCUACGGGAGGCAGCAGUGGGGAAUAUUGCACUAUGGGCGGAAGCCUGAUGCAGCAACGCCGCGUGCGAGAUGACGGCCUUCGGGUUGUAAACCGCUUUCGCCUGUGACGAAGCGUGAGUGACGGUAAUGGGUAAAGAAGCACCGGCUAACUACGUG
This 468-nucleotide ribosomal RNA is filed under the name uncultured bacterium. RNAcentral's name for it is "partial 16S ribosomal RNA". It matches the Rfam family "Bacterial small subunit ribosomal RNA", at positions 28 to 507 of the family's 1533-position model. The record is from RNAcentral.